ACAACACAGCACCCCUGGACAGUCACCACAUGGACAAGUCAGUUCAAUACAAGCUCCAUAGACAGUUAUCCCUACAUAAGAAAAUUGAAGCUGAAUUUAUACCGGAAGGAUUGCUGGACAAAGCGUCGCCUAGCAAUGCCUAACAGCUUGCGAGGUUUCCAAUCACCUGUCUGCCGCUGCCCAAUGAUGUCAGUCACAUACGACCACCGGACCCUUUGUGCUUGUAAGCACCAAAUGGUAAUGACAGACAGCCAUCUGACAGAAGACUUUUCCUUGAGCAAGCGUAGAUUGCUGUGGGGGUGGAAAUGGAAUAGUGAUUUUGAUGAACAAAUGGUGCCUGCUGUCAUUUAA
This is a long non-coding RNA of Pseudophryne corroboree (corroboree frog), 351 nucleotides long. RefSeq lists it as uncharacterized. Lineage: Eukaryota; Metazoa; Chordata; Amphibia; Anura; Myobatrachidae. The record is from RefSeq and is a predicted model, not a curated record. The transcript is spliced from 4 exons.